GGCGCCUUUCCGCAUUUGGUGUAGUCCCGCAUGCUGCCAUUUGAUGUCGCGGGAGAACGCGCCUACAGGGAUAGGGCGGGGCAAGGAGGCGAGGAAGGAAAAAAAGCGACAAGUGAAGACUGACAUCCAUUAAGGUCAAUGGUAGCUCAAUCUUCGGUUCUCUGACUCCCAAGCUUCCCAUUCUCUUAGGAGGCUGCAUUUGUGGCGCUAAAAAAAGGGAUGGGCGUGGGAGAUUCCAGGACAUGUGCUCGCUGAAGAUACAACUGUUAGUCCAAGAUAUGCUUCCUUAUGAACUGACGGUGACUCCCAAAUUCAUAUGUUGAAGACCCAACUCCCAACGGACUUGGAGGUCCACGAAGGGCUAGAUAAGGGAAGCUGGUUUGCGUUCAGGGAAGCGGCAGAGGAGGGAAGCUGGCAGCUGGGCUGUGCUAAGAUGACCUUAGCCCCAGACCCUGGAUGAACAUCCUCUUCUGGAUACAGGACCUGCCCGAGGCAUCAUUUUGAAAUAGUCAAAUUUUAUUUGCUUUGUGUUCUUUCAUCACAUAUAUUAGCUUUUGCCUCUUGAGUGCCAAAAUAUAGCUGUUUUUAUAUUACCCCAAGUUCCUGAGUUUAUUUUUUAGGUAAGAAUUUUCCACCCUUUGAAAUCCCAAAUGACAUGUUUACUCUCUUUCUCAGACCAUGCUUUCAUUUCAGUCAAUGUAACAAAUCAGCCAGGUCUCAGGAGUUUAGAAAUCUGAUUGGAUUGAUUUAUACUAAGCGGUAACAGAUCUACCACAGCCUUCUAAGAUGAAUUGGAGUUUCUUAAAAACUCCAUGACCUACACUAUUCUUUAGGUGCUGGAAUUGCACACUUUCAAAUCACAUCAAGUAUAAACAUUCAAUUUUGUGGGGGGUUAUUUUCUAUGGAGAGAUGAGGUGUUGAUUAAUACUGGUAGGCUUUACUCCAAAAGACAAUUCUAUUAAGAUUUCUUUUGUUUUUUAAAAUCUAGACUAUCAGAAGGAGUAAAAAUGCCAAUUUUUUUUUUCUUUUUGCUGUGGCUACAAUGUUCACAGUAAUCCAAGCUCCAAUGACAGGGGGGGAGAGCGGAGCCAAAUGAGGCCCCGUUUUUUUCAUGAAGUGUAUUUUUCUUUUUUUUUUUGAGAUCAGGGGUUCAGAAAUUGUAAUAUAAGUGUUCAAUUAUAAAGUUAUUAUGAUAGUGCAUGGCACGUGUCCUUUCCAUCAUCUGGAUUUUUCCACUUUUACUGUAUGGCUCACUCUUACUCACUCUCCAGUCUUCACCUUAGUGGUCACUUCCCCCUGAAAUGCCCUUGACCCCUUAAGAUAGCAGUGCUGCAAACAUCGUAAGCUGAAUUUAUAGCCAGACUCACAGGCAACACCUUAUCUUGUGCCAUGCUUCACUAAUGAUGAGGAAGUGAGAAAGAGUAGGGGAAAGGAGGCACAACAAAUGUCAUUUCCAUAACAGAGGCCUCAAGGCCAGCCCACUUGAUUCUCUGGAGAUCCUUUUCUGCAUAACAAUGAUGAAAGGUAGCCUAAGAAAGCCAUUUGUCUGAGGCUUCACCUUUGAUACCUUGCUAGACACUAAACUAAGAGACUGAUUCCAUUCUUUAGUAUAGCCAUUGCCUCAUAAAUCCAUACAUAACAGGGGUAUUUCUUUCCAAUAAAGUAUCCAUAUAGAUUAGGUAUAUUCUAUUGACAAUUUUAUUAAAGUUCUUCAUUUAUCUUCCAGAUAGUAGAUUCUAUCAACCAAGUUUCAUAAAGAGUUCUGAUUCCCAGAGGUAAGAACUGAGCCUGGCUUUCUAGUUACAUGUUUAUUGGUAACUCUGUCCUUCCCUACAACACUUAAGCAUAUUUAAAGACUAUACCCUCCCCUGCCUCCAGCUUGGAUUGUAAGCUCCUCAAGAGCAUGGCUGUGUCCUUUAACAUCAAGUCUCCAUGUGAGAAAGAGUUCCUGCCAUAUCACAAAUGCCCAAUCAACAUUUGUAAGUGAAGAAAGCUAUUCUGUGGUGUCUGCUUUAAUAUUAAGAGAUGGCUUGCCCAAGAUUGCUAAGCAGCUUCAUUGUCUACAAUGGAACAAGAUUCUGUGGGUAGCAGUUCCAUUGGUGCCACUGACAGGAGGCCUCAAGGAAACCUAGUGCACUAGUCUUUCUGAUGACGCCUUGAUUUUCUU
RNAcentral lists this long non-coding RNA (2167 nucleotides) under Homo sapiens (human). RNAcentral describes it as "HSALNT0175511". Lineage: Eukaryota; Metazoa; Chordata; Mammalia; Primates; Hominidae. The record is from RNAcentral.